Long non-coding RNA from Oncorhynchus tshawytscha (Chinook salmon), 377 nucleotides. The record is from Ensembl. Lineage: Eukaryota; Metazoa; Chordata; Actinopteri; Salmoniformes; Salmonidae.
CACUACUACUGCUGUCCACUUUACACAACUACUGCUGUCCAGGUUUACACUACUACUGCUGUCCAGGUUUACACUACUACUGCUGUCCAGGUUUACACUACUACUGCUGUCCAGGUUUACACUGCUAUUGCUGUCCAGGUUUACACUACUACUGCUGUCCAGGUUUACACUGCUACUGCUGUCAAGGUUUACACUGCUACUGCUGUCAAGGUUUACACUGCUACUGCUGUCCAGGUUUACACUGCUACUGCUGUCCAGGUUUACACUGCUACUGCUGUCCAGGUUUACUACAACUACUGCUGUCCAGGUUUACACUGCUACUACUGCUGUCCAGGUUUACACAACUCCUGCUGUCCAGGUUUACACUACUACUACUG